AAAGUUUGACAGACAAUCGCUGGUGACUUGGUCACGAGAGGAAAGUCCGGGCUCCAUAGGGCAGGGUGCUGGAUAAUGUCCAGUCAGCGCGAGCUGAAGGAUAGUGCCACAGAAAUGGACCGCCGAUGGCUGCUUCGGCAGCACAGGCAAGGGUGGAACCGUGGUGUAAGAGACCACGAGGAGCGUUGGUGACUUCGUUCCUGGUAAACCCCAUCUGGAGCAAGACCUAAUGAGAUGCAUGCCCGCAAGGGCAGCCUUAGCCCGAGGUGCGUCUGGGUUGGUCGCUUGAACCGUGCAGCAAUGUACGGUCUAGAUAGAUGAUUGUCACUUCGUAGUGGAAGGGUAGCUCCCGUAAUACCACGAUCAGUACAGAACCCGGCUUACGGCAAACUUUCCGG
RNAcentral lists this RNase P RNA (398 nucleotides) under Paenibacillus alvei. Its description in RNAcentral is "RNase P RNA component class A". It matches the Rfam family "Bacterial RNase P class A". From Rfam's summary of the family: Ribonuclease P (RNase P) is a ubiquitous endoribonuclease, found in archaea, bacteria and eukarya as well as chloroplasts and mitochondria. Its best characterised activity is the generation of mature 5'-ends of tRNAs by cleaving the 5'-leader elements of precursor-tRNAs. Cellular RNase Ps are ribonucleoproteins. Lineage: Bacteria; Bacillati; Bacillota; Bacilli; Caryophanales; Paenibacillaceae. The record is from RNAcentral. RNAcentral also lists the same sequence under 1 other name.